GACAAGGUAGCUCAGUGGUAGAGCGAUCGACUGUUAAUCGAUUUGUCGCUGGUUCGACUCCAGCCCUUAUCU
RNAcentral lists this transfer RNA (72 nucleotides) under Candidatus Thiodiazotropha sp. (ex Codakia rugifera). RNAcentral describes it as "tRNA-Asn". It matches the Rfam family "tRNA". From Rfam's summary of the family: Transfer RNA (tRNA) molecules are approximately 80 nucleotides in length. Lineage: Bacteria; Pseudomonadati; Pseudomonadota; Gammaproteobacteria; Chromatiales; Sedimenticolaceae. The record is from RNAcentral.